AUCAAUCAAUAUAUCAAACGUAUCAGAAGUGUGUGGUUGGAUUUUUGUUUUUAGAGGGUUUUUAUUCCCCCCAUGCUCACUUGUCUGUCCCUUUCCCUGUGGAGAAUUAAGGAGGUAUAGUAGAACCUAUAAAUUAAAAUUGUGACUUUAAUUUAUUGCCCCAUGCGUAAUUGUGCAUGGAGAGGCAUUUGCACUUCAUUGCAACUUCAUUGCAACAACCAUUGUCUUUGUAUUACCAGCUUUGUGUAACUUUUGGCGUAAUGUGAUUUUGAAAUUGUAUUGUAGAUUGACAAAUAAAUUCAUGAGCAUCAUCAAUGUGUGAAUGAUUUGUAAUGCGCUGUGAUUUCAUAGAGCUGUUCAUGGUGAUGAAAUGAGCCUCGGUGUCUGUGUCGGCAGCGUCACAGGGUGACAUUCUGGGUGACCUAAUUUUAUAUUUCCAGAUUUUGGCUUUAGAGUAGGUUUAUUUAAUUUCAACUAUGUAGCCUAAAUGGUCUCCAGUUUUCUGAAGUUAAUGUUGAGAAUGUCUCUUGUUGUGGAAAAUGUUAUUGACGUUAUGGUCUAUUUGUUUACAUCCUUGUCAUCGUUAAUUAAAGGAUUGCACCUGUCAAACCCUUUCAAUUCAUCGUACUGAUGCUUUUUUCCGCGAUGAUUUAUUUUCUCGGCGGUGAUGGCCGAGGUGAAGGCCCAGCUGUAUUACUCACGGUUCGCCACUGCCAAAAGGUGAGGUGAAAACAAGAAAGACUUCUGAUUGGACAAGAGUGACUCAAAGCGUGCAGCAAAGCAAGCUGUUCUGCUGUUAGCGGUCUAGUGUCAGAGAAUGGUGUUAUGAGACGAGAAAAGCUUGUCUUUUAGCGGUCUGUCCCAGGAGUCCUUGCAUUGAAAUUGAUAUAUUUCAGUGCCAGUGCAUAGGACUCGUAAUUUAGGCAAUCAUAUUUUCCUAAAACCCCUCUUGGUUUGGACCUACCCAGAUAGCAAAAAAUAUCCGCAAGGCUUCUUUUUGCCGCCGGCCCUUAGCUGUCGGCUAUAGGUGCGUCCUGCUGGCGGGGAUGAAACGUUUGCCGCCGAAUACGUCACUCCCAUUUCUUGCGAGAUUUUUUGACUGCUUCAUUUUCUCUGGCGGUUGCCUGGUUCUAAAAACCGCGGUCCUUCGGCGGCAAGACGCUUUUAAAUAGGCUACUCUCAAAAUCGACCGGCCAUGUUGGUUUGGACACAUUCGCAUCAGUUCAUCGCUCAAUCGCGAGUUAGUCUGCUAGCUAGCGAAGUCAUCGACUACCAUCGUUUAAAUACCUUGGCCAGAGCAUAACCGAUUAUCUUCACCCAAGAGACCUACUGUUGGUCAAUCGUUUUGGUUUUAAAGAACCAGGUUUCUCCCUAGUAAUCCAGACUCCACUUCAGAGCCAAGAGUUUGAGUACAAGGCACUUGACUUUCUGGAUAAAAGGUGUGGAGGUGUGUUGUACAUAUCAUUAGCUUUGCACAGUUCAAUUAUUGUUUCAUUACUGAAUAUGCAAUCUCUGCAGUGAAAUUAAAGCUGUUGUGUUUUUUCCCCCAGUUCGUCAAGUACUAAACUUUACACCCCCAGCAGAAAAUGUACCCUGGCAGCAAAUGGGUGAAAAGGCUGGAGGAGAAAGUCAUCGCUCCGUUAUUGGCCCUUGGACUCCCCUGGCAUCGCAUGUACAGCAUGAAGUUUUCAGCAAUGAAGGUAUACUCUAGGCCUAUGUCCUAAUGUCCAGUUUUUUAAAAGUUUUGAAAAUAACUGUGCCUUUAGUUUUCCAGAACGAGAACCAAGCCCUGAGGGAGGAGAACCAAGCCCUGAGGGAGGAGAACCAAGCCCUGAGGGAGGAGAACCAAGCCCUGAGGGAGGAGAACCAAGCCCUGAGGGAGGAGAACCAAGCCCUGAGGGAGGAGAACCAAGCCCUGAGGGAGGAGAACCAAGCCCUGAGGGAGGAGAACCAAGCCCUGAGGGAGGAGAACCAUGCCCUGAGGGAGGGGAGCCAUGCACGAGCAGCUUCGGGUGACAGCGGCUCGCUUUAAGAGCAGGUGAAGCUAUUUGGGACAACGCUGAAGAUGUUUGCUCGCACUGGGCAAUCAGGUGCAGAUCAGACCCUAGUGCUGCGACGUCUUGGAGAGUUUGGCGAUGUUGUGCGUAGCAUGGAAAACAAAAUGGACACUAUGCUGCAACAUUUCAGUGCCAAUGUGUCUGUUGGAGAGCUAUCCCUGCCAGGGGAUGUUACUCCCCCUAGACACCCAGGAAGAUUUGGUGUUUCUUGACAGCAUUUUGAGGGAGGAUAAAGAGCUCCAGGAACGAUUUGGGCCCUCCGGAAGAACCCGGCAACCCAGGAUGCCACUGAUGAGGCGGUCCAGGUUAACGUUACACGUUACCUGAAAGGAGCAUCAGACUGUGAAUGAGGAAAAAGCCGCCCAGCUGAGAAGGACCCACAGCCAACCCCUUAAACCUAGGCUGACUACUGACACCCCAGCAUCCCUGAACUGGAACACUUUCUUUAUCCUGCAGUCAGUAACAUCAAGAAGCCAGAAGUGCCAGACUACACUCACCAAACCCACCCUGUUUUUUUUUGUAUUAACUUUAGUAUUGGCUUAUUUCAUUCCAUCUUAACGAUUCUAUUAUAGUUUGUAAAUCCUAUUUCAUACCUGUUACUUGAUAUUGCGCAUUAACUAGUACCAACAUUCUACUUUCA
This is a long non-coding RNA of Esox lucius (northern pike), 2697 nucleotides long. The record is from Ensembl. Lineage: Eukaryota; Metazoa; Chordata; Actinopteri; Esociformes; Esocidae.